Non-coding RNA from Schizosaccharomyces pombe (fission yeast), 248 nucleotides. The record is from the annotation of a GenBank genome assembly. NCBI's taxonomy places the organism in Eukaryota, Fungi, Ascomycota, Schizosaccharomycetes, Schizosaccharomycetales, Schizosaccharomycetaceae.
UAUCUUCAGUCAAAGGAGGAGCAUAACGAAAGGCUACAAAUGGAAGAUGUGGGGCGGACUCUGGACAUUUUUUAUCAAGGAUUUUGCACAUUUCCGACCCCUGUAUACGAGUCCAAUGUAAAAUUGGACUUCCUCCACCAAUGUCGGAAUAGUGAUUUUGAACUUUAGGUGUCCUACGUUUCGCAAUGAAUUUUCCUAAUGAAUUUUGAAAAUAACCGAGAGGAAUAAUAUCACCAUCAGUGAAUAGA